This 667-nucleotide long non-coding RNA is filed under the name Pan troglodytes (chimpanzee). RNAcentral describes it as "long non-coding RNA NONPTRT014479". The stretch from base 132 to 371 matches the Rfam family "Highly up-regulated in liver cancer conserved region". Lineage: Eukaryota; Metazoa; Chordata; Mammalia; Primates; Hominidae. The record is from RNAcentral.
UUAUGCCACGUGAGGAUACAGCAAGGCCCCAGUCUGCAAGCCAGGAAGAGUCGUCACGAGAACCAGACCAUGCAGGAACUCUGAUCGUGAACAUUUCAACCUCCAGAACUGUGAUCCAAAAUGCAUAUGUAUCUUUGGAAGAAACUCUGAAGUAAAGGCCAGAAUAUUCUUUGUUUAAAACAUUAAAAACAAAACAGACCAAAGCAUCAAGCAAGAAAUUUCCUGGCAAUAAACUAAGCACAGCAUUAUUUUUUAAGGAACACAAAUUAAGUGUUCAACCUGUGGCAAAUUUGUACUUUCUCCCUGAAUUAUGUUGUUAUCAAAGAAAAAAAUUGGGAAGCAUGGCAAAAUAUCAUCAAAACUGAAACUAGAAUUAAACAAAACUAAAUUAAAAUGAAAUAAAAUGACGUCCAUUCUUAAUUCAUCCUCACAACUGGGCCACUAGUUUUAUGCAUCUUGGCAGCCAAUAUUUUUGUCUCUAGGGCAUAAAUUAUGCAUCAGGUACCUCUGAAACUCAGAGACCAAGGAAAGAGGAGGUAAUUUGGAAGGUGAAAUAAAUGUAAACAUUCUGAAGAAAGAAUCAAAUCUGUACUUCAGGGUCAAAGAUGAAAUUCAAAAGGGGUUGACAAUGCAUAGAAAAAAGUGCUGAAUUUAAAGUUGGUUUUAU